UUUUUUUUUUUGAGAGAGAGAGAGAAAGAUAGCAUGCUACCCGCUUCGUUUAUUUCAUUUAGAAAUAAAUUUAGCUGGAAAUAUGAAUCAACUAGUAUUCGAACUUGGGUCUCGAAUACCAACCACCAAGCCCUUUGGCACUUGCUCUAGGGACGAUCGGUCUCCCAUGGCCUUUUCGAAAAUGUCUUUAUUGUAAAACUUUGUAACAGUUUAUUAGAGAAUACAAUCAAUUUCAGAUACCAUUUAAUUACAUAAAUAACUAUACACAAAUGUUUAAUUUAAUAUAAUUUUAAAAUUAUUGUUUAAUUUAAUAUAUUU
RNAcentral lists this long non-coding RNA (318 nucleotides) under Ananas comosus (pineapple). Its description in RNAcentral is "long non-coding RNA (ACOM_LNC025449)". Lineage: Eukaryota; Viridiplantae; Streptophyta; Magnoliopsida; Poales; Bromeliaceae. The record is from RNAcentral.